AGUGAACGCUGGCGGCAUGCCUAACACAUGCAAGUCGAACGGCAGCACCGUGAGUGCUUGCUCUCCCGUGUGUCGCGUGGCGGACCGUGCAGGUAUACAUGGGAAUCUACUUUUUCGUGGGUGCUAACACCGGGUAACUUACGCUAAUCCCGCAUACGUCCUACGGGUGAAAGCCGGGGAUCUUUUGACCUUGCGCGAUUGUAUGAGCCGAUGUCGGCUUAGCUAGUUGGGGGGGUAAAGGCGCACCAAGGCGACGAUCGGUAGCUGGUCUGAGCGGAUGAUCAGCCACAUGGGAAGGGAGAAAGGGCCCAGACUCCUAGGGGAGGAAGCGGUGGGGAAUAUUGGAGAAGGGGGGAAAGCCUGAUCCAGCAAGACGGGGGGGGGGAAGAAGGCGUACGGGUGGGAAAGCCCUUUUGUUGGGAGAGAAAAACAGCAGGUUAAUACCCGGCUGUUCUGACGGUACCCGAAGAAUAAGCACCGGCUAACUUCGUG
This 492-nucleotide ribosomal RNA is filed under the name uncultured bacterium. RNAcentral describes it as "partial 16S ribosomal RNA". It matches the Rfam family "Bacterial small subunit ribosomal RNA", at positions 29 to 507 of the family's 1533-position model. The record is from RNAcentral.